UUAUUUGAGAGUUUGAUCCUGGCUCAGGAUGAACGCUGGCGGCGUGCCUAACACAUGCAAGUUGAGCGAUUUACUUCGGUAAAGAGCGGCGGACGGGUGAGUAACGCGUGGGUAACCUACCCUGUACACACGGAUAACAUACCGAAAGGUAUGCUAAUACGGGAUAAUAUAUUUGAGAGGCAUCUCUUGAAUAUCAAAGGUGAGCCAGUACAGGAUGGACCCGCGUCUGAUUAGCUAGUUGGUAAGGUAACGGCUUACCAAGGCGACGAUCAGUAGCCGACCUGAGAGGGUGAUCGGCCACAUUGGAACUGAGACACGGUCCAAACUCCUACGGGAGGCAGCAGUGGGGAAUAUUGCACAAUGGGCGAAAGCCUGAUGCAGCAACGCCGCGUGAGUGAUGAAGGCCUUCGGGUCGUAAAACUCUGUCCUCAAGGAAGAUAAUGACGGUACUUGAGGAGGAAGCCCCGGCUAACUACGUGCCAGCAGCCGCGGUAAUACGUAGGGGGCUAGCGUUAUCCGGAUU
This 523-nucleotide ribosomal RNA is filed under the name Clostridioides difficile. Its description in RNAcentral is "bacterial SSU rRNA". It matches the Rfam family "Bacterial small subunit ribosomal RNA", at positions 1 to 551 of the family's 1533-position model. The record is from RNAcentral. Lineage: Bacteria; Bacillati; Bacillota; Clostridia; Peptostreptococcales; Peptostreptococcaceae.